Molecule: ribosomal RNA, 443 nt
Filed under: uncultured Sphingobacteriales bacterium
Lineage: Bacteria; Pseudomonadati; Bacteroidota; Sphingobacteriia; Sphingobacteriales
Description: bacterial SSU rRNA
Rfam family: Bacterial small subunit ribosomal RNA
Source: RNAcentral
GCGAUGUGGUUUAAUUCGUAUGAUACGCGAGGAACUUACCUGGGCUCGAACGUAAGAUGACUGUAGGUGAAAGCUUACAUCUCUUCGGAGCAUUUUACGAGGUGCUGCAUGGUUGUCGUCAGCUCGUGCCGUGAGGUGUCGGUUAAGUCCCAUAACGAGCGCAACCCUACCUUUAGUUGCCAUCAGGUAAUGCUGGGGACUCUAAAGGAACUGCCUACGCAAGUAGUGAGGAAGCGGGGAUGACGUCAAAUCAGCACGGCCCUUACGUCCAGGGCUACACACGUGCUACAAUGGCCGAUACAGAGGGCAGCUACCUGGUGACAGGAUGCAAAUCUCCAAAGUCGGUCUCAGUUCGGAUCGGAGUCUGCAACCCGACUCCGUGAAGUUGGAUUCGCUAGUAAUCGCGCAUCAGCCAUGGCGCGGUGAAUACGUUCCCGGGCCUU